GGAGGGUGGGACCCCCUGGCAAAAGACGGGGUCCCCUCUUCCCCAAGCGGCAAGCCAUCCCCCUUCCUCCCUUCCCUCCCCCCAGUCUCGGAGAUCAGAGAAGCACCGACUGGGAGCCUGCACCCCCUGGACAUCUUGACUCCAUCCUUCAGCAUCCUUUCCCUCACUGUAUCCUGACUGCUUGGACCAUCCUCCUCUCCAGCCUCCACUGAACAACAGAUUGGGAAGGGGAAUUUCACAAGGUUUGAGCGGCAGAGAUGUCCUAGGGUAGGUGGAAGGCCUGGCAGCCCCGGGAUGAACUUGCCCCUAGCCCAGCCCUCUG
Molecule: long non-coding RNA, 322 nt
Organism: Ovis aries (sheep)
Lineage: Eukaryota; Metazoa; Chordata; Mammalia; Artiodactyla; Bovidae
Source: Ensembl